This 274-nucleotide ribosomal RNA is filed under the name uncultured bacterium. Its description in RNAcentral is "partial 16S ribosomal RNA". It matches the Rfam family "Bacterial small subunit ribosomal RNA", at positions 333 to 604 of the family's 1533-position model. The record is from RNAcentral.
UCUUACCUACGGGGGGCAGCAGUGAGGAAUAUUGGUCAAUGGCCGAGAGGCUGAACCAGCCAAGUCGCGUGAGGGAUGACGGCCCUACGGGUUGUAAACCUCUUUUGCCGGGGAGCAAAGAGCGGGACGCGUCCCGCCUCGAGAGUACCCGGAGAAAAAGCAUCGGCUAACUCCGUGCCAGCAGCCGCGGUAAUACGUAGGUGGCAAGCGUUGUCCGGAUUUAUUGGGCGUAAAGCGAGUGCAGGCGGUUCAAUAAGUCUGAUGUGAAAGCCUU